RNAcentral lists this ribosomal RNA (468 nucleotides) under uncultured bacterium. RNAcentral's name for it is "partial 16S ribosomal RNA". It matches the Rfam family "Bacterial small subunit ribosomal RNA", at positions 28 to 507 of the family's 1533-position model. The record is from RNAcentral.
GACGAACGCUGGCGGCGUGCUUAACACAUGCAAGUCGAACGGAAAGGCCCUGCUUGUGUGGGGUGCUAGAGGGGCGAACGGGUGAGUAACCCGGGAGUAACCUGCCCUUGACGGUGGGAUAUCUUCAGGCAACUGGGGCUAAUGCAGGAGAGGAGCUCCUGCUGCAUGGUGGGGGUUGGAAAGUUUCGGCGGUUGGGGAUGGAGUUGCGGCUAAUCAGCUGGUUGGGGGGGUAGUGGCUUACCAAGGCAUUGACGGGUGGCCUGCCUGGGAGGGUGACCGGCCACAUUGCGACUGAGAUACGCCCCAGACUACUACGGGAGGCAGCAGUGGAGAAUAUUGCACAAUGGGCGGGAGCCUGAUGCAGCAACGCCGCGUUCGGGAAGACGUCCAUCGGGUUGGGAACCGCUUUCGCCUGUAACGAUGCGUUAGUGACGGUACUGGGUAAAGAAGCACCGGCUAACUACGUG